This 425-nucleotide ribosomal RNA is filed under the name uncultured bacterium. RNAcentral describes it as "bacterial SSU rRNA". It matches the Rfam family "Bacterial small subunit ribosomal RNA", at positions 354 to 796 of the family's 1533-position model. The record is from RNAcentral.
GUGGGGAAUAUUGGACAAUGGGCGCAAGCCUGAUCCAGCCAUGCCGCGUGAGUGAAGAAGGCCCUAGGGUUGUAAAGCUCUUUCAGCAGGGAAGAUGAUGACGGUACCUGCAGAAGAAGCCCCGGCUAACUCCGUGCCAGCAGCCGCGGUAAUACGGAGGGGGCUAGCGUUGUUCGGAAUUACUGGGCGUAAAGGGCAUGUAGGCGGAUCGGCCAGUCAGAGGUGAAAGCCCUGGGCUCAACCCAGGAACUGCCUUUGAUACUGCCGAUCUAGAGUCCGGGAGAGGAUAGUGGAAUUCCCAGUGUAGAGGUGAAAUUCGUAGAUAUUGGGAAGAACACCAGUGGCGAAGGCGGCUAUCUGGACCGGUACUGACGCUAAGGUGCGAAAGCGUGGGGAGCAAACAGGAUUAGAAACCCGAGUAGUCC